GAUGAACUGUGGGUAGCGGAGAAAUUCCAAUCGAACCCGGAGAUAGCUGGUUCUCCCCGAAAUAGUUUUAGGACUAGCCUCAAGUUAGAUACCUGGAGGUAAAGCACUGAAUAGCCUAGCGGCCGAGAGGUUAGCGAAGCUUAUCAAACUCAGAAUGCCAGAGUAUUGAUGCUUGGGAGUCAGACAGUGUCAGAUAAAUGUCAUUGUCAAAAGGGAAACAGCCCAGAUCUACAGCUAAGGUCCCAAAGUCAGGUUAAGUGGAAAACGAUGUGAAGAUACGCAGACAACCAGGAUGUUGGCUCAGAAGCAGCCACUCAUUCAAAGAGUGCGUAAUAGCUCACUGGUCGAGCGUCUUUGCGCGGAGAAUUUAACGGGGCUAAACCUGACACCGAAGCUUAGGCAAUACAGCAAUGUAUUGGGUAGGGGAGCGUUGUAUACGCGGUGAAACAGUAGCGUAAGCGGCUGUGGAGUGUAUAGAAGUGAGAAUGCCGGAAUGAGUAGCGCGAAUGCAGUGAGAAUCUGCAUGGCCGAAAGCCUCAGGUUUCUGGAGGAAGGUUCGUCCGCUCCAGGUUAGUCGGGAGCUAAGGUGAGGCCUAACGGCGUAGCCGAUGCACAGACGGUAGAGAUUCCGUCACCACCAAAAGAGUUAAGCACAGGGACACAUUUGAAGUCUCAGAGCCGGGUGUUGGUUCCGGUAGAGAUCGAGGGAAAUUAGUACCGAAGUCUGAGAUGGAAGAUGGCGAGAAAAGCUGUGUGUAUUUCUGAGGUGCCCGUACCGCAAACCGACACAGGUAGGUAGGAAGAAGAUUCUAAGGCCAACGGGAGAAGGGUUGUUAAGGAACUCGGCAAAUUGACCCCGUAACUUCGGGAGAAGGGGUGCUCCAGAGAUGGAGCCGCAGAGAAUCGGCCCAAGCAACUGUUUACCAAAAACACAGGUUUGUGCUAAAUCGAAAGAUGACGUAUACGAGCUGACGCCUGCCCGGUGCUGGAAGGUUAAGAGGAGAUGUGCAAGCAUUGAAUCGAAGCCCCAGUGAACGGCGGCCGUAACUAUAACGGUCCUAAGGUAGCGAAAUUCCUUGUCAGGUAAGUUCUGACCCGCACGAAAGGCGUAAUGAUUUGGGCACUGUCUCAACAGCCCGCCCGGCGAAAUUGUAGUACCGGUGAAGAUGCCGGUUACCCGCGACAAGACGGAAAGACCCCAUGGAGCUUUACUGUAGCCUAAUAUUGGGUUUCGAUGUUGCAUGCACAGGAUAGAUGGGACACAGGGAAACAAUCGCUUUGGCGGUUGCGGAGUGGCCGUUGGGAUACCAUCCUUGCGAUAUUGGAAUUCUAACCUGCGGCUCUGAAUCGAGUCGGGGGACAUUGUUAGGUGGGCAGUUUGACUGGGGCGGUCGCCUCCUAAAAAGUAACGGAGGCGUUCAAAGGUUCGCUCAGCUUGAACGGAAAUCAAGCAAAAGAG
Molecule: ribosomal RNA, 1459 nt
Filed under: human gut metagenome
Description: bacterial LSU rRNA
Rfam family: Bacterial large subunit ribosomal RNA
Source: RNAcentral